AUGAGCCUAGGUCGGAUUAGCUAGUUGGUGAGGUAAUGGCUCACCAAGGCGACGAUCCGUAACUGGUCUGAGAGGAUGAUCAGUCACACUGGAACUGAGACACGGUCCAGACUCCUACGGGAGGCAGCAGUGGGGAAUAUUGGACAAUGGGCGAAAGCCUGAUCCAGCCAUGCCGCGUGUGUGAAGAAGGUCUUCGGAUUGUAAAGCACUUUAAGUUGGGAGGAAGGGCAGUAAGUUAAUACCUUGCUGUUUUGACGUUACCAACAGAAUAAGCACCGGCUAACUUCGUG
Molecule: ribosomal RNA, 290 nt
Filed under: uncultured bacterium
Lineage: Bacteria
Description: partial 16S ribosomal RNA
Rfam family: Bacterial small subunit ribosomal RNA
Source: RNAcentral